This is a non-coding RNA of Brachypodium distachyon (stiff brome), 94 nucleotides long. Lineage: Eukaryota; Viridiplantae; Streptophyta; Magnoliopsida; Poales; Poaceae. The record is from Rfam.
CAAAUACUCCCUCCGUCCCAAAAUAAGUGACGUGGAUCUGUAUAGAUUCUUAUACAAAUCCACGUCACUUAUUUUGGGACGGAGGGAGUACUUA